RNAcentral lists this long non-coding RNA (746 nucleotides) under Harpegnathos saltator (Jerdon's jumping ant). RNAcentral describes it as "uncharacterized LOC112590612, transcript variant X2". Lineage: Eukaryota; Metazoa; Arthropoda; Insecta; Hymenoptera; Formicidae. The record is from RNAcentral.
AUGGCACAGAAAAAUGAAGUUUACUUUCAUUAGAUUGUAUAAAUUCUAUGAUAUUUCCCGUUACGUUUCUGUUAUGUCAGGAAAUUUCAGCGUGAGAGUUCAUUUUGUAGUAUUUAUUGUAGUAUUGCAUUGUUGAAAGAAAAGAAAAGAUAGAAGAAGGAAAAGGAUCUUUUAAAGACAACAAAGAUAUAUAUAUAUACAGCAUGAGUCACAAAAAGUGUGCUGUUAUUAAUUGUGCGGAACGAAAUAAACGGAUGUUUGCAUUUCCUAAUCCAAUUAAGGAUAAAAAACGGUUUUUACAAUGGAUAUCAGCAAAUGGAGAUCCAUCAUUGAUGACCAUUCUUCCGAAAAAAAUAAUGAAAAGGACAAACAGAGCCAAUUAACAUUGACGAACACGAAGUAGCAUGUUUAAAUACAAAUGAGAAUACUAUUACAAAUUUAUUAGAAAAUGAUCUACAAGCACCAAAUAUUACAGAAUGCAAUGAUUAUGACAAUAUCAGAGAUAUCUCUACAUGUUCAGGAGAAGAGGUGGCAGAAACAAGAAUAGAUAGAAAUGAAGAGAAUCCUGUAUCUAUGCCGAUAAUAAAGGAAAGAAAAAGAAAAGCGAAAGGUAUGAUAUAUAUAAUCACAAUAAAAAUAAUUAUCUACAAUAGUUUUAACAAAGAUAUGAUCAUAUACAUAAAAUGUAUUGGUCAUAUUUCUAUUUUAACGAAAGACAGAAAUCUAUAUAUAUACAUAUAUAUAUA